This is a long non-coding RNA of Alligator mississippiensis (American alligator), 7486 nucleotides long. RefSeq lists it as uncharacterized. The record is from RefSeq and is a predicted model, not a curated record. The transcript is spliced from 5 exons. NCBI's taxonomy places the organism in Eukaryota, Metazoa, Chordata, Crocodylia, Alligatoridae.
GUGUGUCAGGCUGUGGGGAGUGACGUCUCGAGCCAUGUGGGUGCUGCGUGGCUCGUAGUCCUUGUCAAGCACCGGUGACCCGCGGGGUGGGCAGCGGUCGGGCUUGCACGUUUCCGUUCCUUCCCUUAAGACGCCAUUUGGGGGGCAGUGGGCGAGGUCCCCGGGCCUCGGUCACAGCUUUCCCUUAAGGCUGUCAUUCGGGGGGCGGAGGCUCAGGUCCGUAGCCAGCUCCGCUGCCCCCUUGAGGCAUCAUUUGGGGGAGCGGUGGGCAGGGGCGGUUUGUUUCUGCCCGCGGUCCUCCCUUAAGACGUCACUGGGGUCCGCAGUGGGGCGGGCCGGAGGGCCCCCGCAGUCCUCCCUUAAGAUGUCAUUUGCGGGGGGCAGCGGCAAGGUCCGUAGGCCCCCGCUGUCCUCCCUUAAGAUACCAUUCAGGUUGGCUGUGGGUCUGGUCUGAACCCCUGUAGUUCUCACUUAAGGCCUUUCGGGGGGGGCCGCGGGCCAGGUCCCUAGGGCUUGGCCCGCGGCCCCUCCUUAAGGCGUCACUUGGGGCUGCAGUGGGCAAAGGCCUGGAGGUCGCCGCUGUCUGCUCUCGGGGUCAUCUUGCCGAGCUGCGGUGUGGUGCUGCCCUGCUCGCAAACGGGUCAAGCACUGACGGCCUUUUCACACCCCCAAGCCCGAGCUACGGUGUGGUGCUGCCUAGCUCUGUGGGCGGUCAAGCACUGGUGGUCACUUGAGGGGGCUUGUGCCCUCUCAAGGCCAUCCCAUGGGGAAGCACGAGCACACGGGGUGCCGCUAAAGACAACCAGCAGAGAAGACAACACAAAAGCAGGUGUGAGCUGGCCUGCUAUUUAAUGGACAAAUAAAAUUGAUCUGCCAGGCACCUUCUUGGUGCCUGGUGCCUUUCACCUCCAAGUUCCUGCUCCCCCUCUGCGCUGUUUCUCUUCUCUCCUGUCCUGUUAUUUCACAUCCAAGUUUCCCCGCCCGCUGCCCCCUUUCAUUUCUGCAGUGGUUCCCUUGCAACCACUGCGUGCUGAGGGCCUCCGGGCUGGCCACCCAGGAUGUUGAGUCCCUUGCUGAAAGGGAUUGGUGGCAGAUGUCGCUUGACUUGGCUGUCCGGGAGUCAAGUGUUGGAGACUGGCCUGGCCACCUGAGGCUGCAGCCCCGAAUCCUGCAAAGCAGGUCCCCUUUGGGGGUCUGCACGUCAUCCCCAGAAGGACAAGCAGACAAGAUGGCAGAUGGGUCGGAGCGAGCUGACCGGGAAGGCGGAAAACGAGGCCAGCCUAGCAGGAGGCACAGGCCUCGGGAGAACCAGAAGGAGAAGCAGCGGGGUAGAGGUGAGGUAGGAGAAAAGCCAGGCAGAGAAACAGAGUGAGAAGGAAAGGGACUCUGGACAGAGUGACCUCCCUGCCUUUAGGUCUCAAUCAUGUCUCAGCCAAAUUUUGGCUGCGUGAGCCUUUGGGCGAGCUCUCUGUAACUCAGAGAUGGAUCUCUGCCCUUGAAGCUGUUACACUUCUGUAGCAGUCAGGUGGAAGGUGGACAACCCUGUAAGCAAGGUGUGUGUCACCGCUACCUCGUUUGUAAAUCCAUGGAUCUGGCUGGUGGUCUUGUGCAGAGCAGCCGCCCUGUAAUCGGGGUGCAGGCCAGCUGCCAAACAUGACUGCCAAUGCUGCAGCCUCCUAUAAGCGGGGUGAGUGCUGCCUCCUAACAUGCGAGGACAGGCGAUAUGAACGUGUGUAGUGCUGGACAUCCCGUAAUUGGGAGUCCAAGUCCAUUGCUAUUGCUAGCCAGCUGGGAGAGGUGCCUCUGUAAGCAGGGUGGGCAUAGCCUCCUACCGCUGGCUGGAGAGAGACGGAGUAGCCUGCCGCAUUGUGCAGCAGGACAGCCUUGCAGACAGGAGCCGGGUCUCGUUGGUGACAGCAAACUUUUUAGACCCCGGAGCCUGAUGACCUUCCCGUGGCUGGGUUGAAGCCUGUGGCCUCCUCACCUUUCCCUGUGUCCAGGCAUCUGUCCCUUGUCCUGCAUCAGUGCCUGGUACUCCAUGUCCGGACCCCUGGACUGCCCUGUAACGAGGGUGUGAGUCCCGCGUCUCUUGGUGGAGGACUAGGUUAUGCAAAGCAGUGAACCACCCUGUAAGCAGGGUCUGGGCAUCCAUGUGCCUUUGGUGAGAGAUCUUUCCUUUGGCUAGCCUGAGGGCCCGCCCUGUAAGCAGGGCUCUGGGCAUGUCCCUUUUGAACCUUGUGGGCAGUCUGGCUGGCCAGACGGGCCGUGCCCUGUAAGGAGGGUGCGAGUCCCGUGUCUCUUGGUGGAGGGCUAGGUUCUGCAGAGCUGUGGACCACCCUGUAAGCAGGGUCCAGGUCUCAGUGUGCUUUUGGGGACAGCUCUGUCCUUUGGCUGGCUGUUGGCCCGCUCUGUAAGCAGGGCUCUGGGCAUGUCCCUUUUGAACCUUGUGGGCAGUCUGGCUGGUCAGACGGGCCGGGCCCUGUAAGGAGGGUGCGAGUCCCGUGUCUCUUGGUGGAGGGCUAGGUUCUGCAGAGCUGUGGAGCACCCUGUAAGCAGGGUCCAGGUCUCCAUGUGCCUUUUGGGGACAGCUCUGUCCUUCGGCAGGCUGAGGGCCCUCCCUGUAAGGAAGGCCUCGCCUAUGGGCGAUCUGGCUGGCCAGGCGGGCCGUACCCUGUAAGGAGGGUGCCGGUCUUAGCCGUCUUGCCUCCUGGGAGUGGAGGAGGAUUUUGCAGGGUAAGGCUCGAGGACAAGCAGUUUGCAGCACGGAGCUGCUUUCCGGCCUGGGAACACUCUUCCUUGUCAGAGUGUGGCGAGCGAGAGAGAGGAGCGCCUGGGAAUGAAAGCGUUUGUUAUUUUCUUUUUGUUGUUAAAAUCGCUGCAGCGUACUUUAUUUUCUUCCCAGUGCUGGAAAGGGGCGAGAUGUGUCCACAUAGCCUUAUUCUUCCACCUCUGUACCUAGGGGGUUAAGCACCGGCAUAGAUUUCUGUGACUUCUGGCUUCGGGGAGCAUUAGGCCACCCCCCCCAGUGACCUCCCUGUCUCUCAGGGUACGGGUCUUGGGCCCCUCUUGGGUGGCCAGCAUGGUCCUUUGCCCACUUGGUAGCUCACACGAAGACUUCCUGCCAUCCGUCCUGGGGGCAGGCUCUGUAUCCCGUACCCGAGUCCCUGGAGACAAGUGCCCUGGCACUUGGCCAGCUGUUCUCCUGCGCCCCUGGCCCCGGCCUGCAGCCUGUAAGCAGGGUCCAGGUCCCCUUGAUUUUCUGGGUCUUGUUCCAGUGGGUGAGGUUGGCCAGAGACGAUACCCACAGGCUACAGGGAAGGUUGCAGUGCGCUGGCACCCCGAGGCAUCGUGACCUCCCUGUAACUCAGGUCCAGGUCUCUGCUCCUCUGUUCUGCUGCUCCUGGCACUGUUAAGAGGGCCUCUCCCCGCACCCUGUCAACAGGGCUGCGCCCCCCACCCGCUCUGACCCUGGGGGAGGAGGAGGCUUUGUUUAGUCCUUUGGGCUCUGUGGCUUCAGUGACACGAGGCUGAAGUUGUGGCCCUUAUGUCCUCCAGGAAUGGGGCAAUUUUGACCCCUGGUCAAGACCGCCUGAGGUAUCUGUCAGCUGGCAUUCAGGUCUUUGCAGGUUUUCUCUGGGCUUCAUGCCCCAGCAGCCAGCUGUGUGCCGGGAGCACCGCCCUGUAAGCAGGGUUUCUGGUGUUGGCGGUCACCGCUCAUGGUGCCGCCCUAGCAGUUCUGUCCAGAGUCCUGGCCUUCGCACGCAGUUUCUGGCUGGCCCGGAUGUCUGCCUCCCCCAUCUCCGCGGACAGAGGACAGCGGCCGCAGGUCCAGGCCCAAGCAGAGAAAAUGGCAGACCAGCAGCAAUCCACCUACAAGGAGGGAAGAAAACCAUGCCAGCCCAGCAAAGGUGUCGGAAGGACAAGCCGCAGGCAAGCCGUGACGGGCAAAAAAACAGCAAAACGGGGUGCGAAGGGAAGGGACUCUGGACAGAAUGAUCUCCCUGCCUUCAGGUCUCAGUCAUGUAUUAGCCACUUUUUGCAUGUGUGAGCCUUUGGGCGAGCUCUCUGUAACUCAGAAAUGGGUCUCAGCCCUUGAAGCUGUUGCACUUCUGCAGCAGUCGGGUGGAAGGUGGACAACCCUGUAAGCAAGGCGUGUGUCACCGCCGCCUCUUCUAAAGGCCAUGGAUCUGGUUGGUGGUCUUGCGCAUCGCAGCUGCCCUGUAAUCAGGGUCCAGGCCAGCUGGCUGCCAAUGGUGCAGCCUCCUGUACGCGGGGUGCGUGCUGCCUCCUAACACGUGAGAACAACAGGCAGUUUGACCAUGUGUCGCGCUGGACAUCCCGUAAUUGGGAGUCCAAGUCCCCUGCCAUAGCCAGCCAGCCGGAGAGGUGCCCCUGUAAGCAGGGUGGGCAUAGCCGCCUUCCGCUGGGCUGAGAGACACGGCGCAGUCUGCCGCGUUGUGCAGCAAGAGGGCCUUGCAGACAGGAGCCGGGUCUCGUGGAGUGACAGCAAACUCUUCACAUCCCAGAGCCUGAUGACCUUCCCGUGGCUGGGUUGAAAUCUGUGGUCUCCUCACCGUUCUCUGAGUCCAGGCAUCUGUCCUUCAUCCUGCAUCUGUGCCUGGUACUCCACAUCCAGACCCCUGGGCCACCCUGUAACGAGGGGACGAGUCCCAGGCAUCCUGUAGGACGGCUAGGAUCUGCAGAGCUGUGGACCACCCUGUAAGGAGGGUCCAGGUCUCAGUGUGCUUUUGGGGACAGCUCUGUCCUUUGGCUGGCUGUUGGCCCGCCCUGUAAGCAGGGCUCUGGGCACGUCCCUUUUGAACCUUGUGGGCAGUCUGGCUGGCCAGACGGGCCGUGCCCUGUAAGGAGGGUGCAAGUCCCGUGUCUCUUGGUGGAGGGCUAGGUUCUGCAGAGCUGUGGACCACCCUGUAAGCAGGGUCCAGGUCUCCAUGUGCCUUUUGGGGACAGCUCUGUCCUUUGGCUGGCUGUUGGCCCGCCCUGUAAGCAGGGCUCUGGGCAUGUCCCUUUUGAACCUUGUGGGCAGUCUGGCUGGCCAGACGGGCCGGGCCCUGUAAGGAGGGUGCGAGUCCCGUGUCUCUUGGUGGAGGGCUAGAUUCUGCAGAGCUGUGGACCACCCUGUAAGCAGGGUCCAGGUCUCAGUGUGCUUUUGGGGACAGCUCUGUCCUUUGGCUGGCUGUUGGCCCGCUCUGUAAGCAGGGCUCUGGGCAUGUCCCUUUUGAACCUUGUGGGCAGUCUGGCUGGUCAGACGGGCCGGGCCCUGUAAGGAGGGUGCGAGUCCCGUGUCUCUUGGUGGAGGGCUAGGUUCUGCAGAGCUGUGGACCACCCUGUAAGCAGGGUCCAGGUCUCAAUGUGCCUUUUGGGGACAGUUCUGUCCUUCGGCAGGCUGAGGGCCCUCCCUGUAAGGAAGGCCUCGCCUAUGGGCGAUCUGGCUGGCCAGGCAGGCCGUACCUUGUAAGGAGGGUGCCGGUCCCAGCCGUCUUGCCUCCUGGGAGUGGAGGAGGAUUUUGCAGGGUAAGGCUCGAGGACAAGCAGUUUGCAGCGCGGAGCUGCUUUCCGGCCUGGGAACACUCUUCCUUGUCAGUGUGUGGCGAGCGAGAGAGAGGAGCGCCUGGGAAUGAAAGCGUUUGUUAUUUUCUUUUUGUUGUUAAAAUCGCUGCAGCGUACUUUAUUUUCUUCCCAGUGCUGGAAAGGGGCGAGAUGUGUCCACAUAGCCUUAUUCUUCCACCUCUGUACCUAGGGGGUUAAGCACCGGCAUAGAUUUCUGUGACUUCUGGCUUCGGGGAGCAUUAGGCCACCCCCCCCAGUGACCUCCCUGUCUCUCAGGGUACGGGUCUUGGGCCCCUCUUGGGUGGCCAGCAUGGUCCUUUGCCCACUUGGUAGCUCACACGAAGACUUCCUGCCAUCCGUCCUGGGGGCAGGCUCUGUAUCCCAUACCCGAGUCCCUGGAGACAAGUGCCCUGGCACUUGGCCAGCCGUCCUCCUGCGCCCCUGGCCCCGGCCUGCAGCCUGUAAGCAGGGUCCAGGUCCCCUUGAUUUUCUGGGUCUUGUUCCAGUGGGUGAGGUUGGCCAGAGACGAUACCCACGGGCUACAGGGAAGGUUGCAGUGCGCUGGCACCCCGAGGCAUCGUGACCUCCCUGUAACUCAGGUCCAGGUCUCUGCUCCUCUGUUCUGCUGCUCCUGGCACUGUUGAGAGGGCCUCUCCCCGCACCCUGUCAACAGGGCUGCGCCCCCCACCCGCUCUGACCCUGGGGGAGGAGGAGGCUUUGUUUAGUCCUUUGGGCUCUGUGGCUUCAGUGACACGAGGCUGAAGUUGUGGCCCUUAUGUCCUCCAGGAAUGGGGCAAUUUUGACCCCUGGUCAAGACCGCCUGAGGUACCUGUCAGCUGGCAUUUAGGUCUUUUCAGGUUUUCUCUGGGCUUCAUGCCCCAGCAGCCAGCUGUGUGCCGGGAGCACCGCCCUGUAAGCAGGGUUUCUGGUGUUGGCAGUCACCGCUCAUGGUGCCGCCCUAGCAGUUCUGUCCAGAGUCCUGGCCUUCGCACGCAGCUUCUGGCUGGCCCGGAUGUCUGCCUCCCCCAUCUCCGCGGACAGAGGACAGCGGCCGCAGGUCCAGGUCCCCGAAGGGCAGCUGGAGAAGAAGGAACAGAAGCAGCAGAAGAAAGCUGGGGAACAAGAAGUGUGGGUCGGGGUGGGCAGGAGGAAGGGGAAUGUUUAAUGUCUGCUCAGAGAAGGACAGAUGGAGGCUGUUGAGUGCAUCUACACUUUCACACACCCAGGAGGAGCAAGCAGUCACACACUUCAAGUUGCACCGUGCAUUCAGUCUUGGGUUGGCCCCGAUUGUGUGCAGGGAGGUUGAGGCUUUGUGCUAGUCGUGCAUAUCGAUAUGCAGCAGUCAAGGGUUUUGCAGGUUGUGUGCAAGGAGGCUGAGGUGUUGUGCUAGUUGUGUGUAUUGAUAUGCAGCUGUCACGGGUGUCGCAGGCGGUUUGGCUUUGCCAGUGAAGCGGUGGAUCAGAAUAGGUGUGACUGAAGGCAGCGUGUAGGGCGUUCUUGGUUGGGUUGUUGAGCGGUUCUCGGUGUUAGUGUAGGAACACAGGUUUGUGCUCGGUUCUGUUUGUGGCUUGGCUGUAGCUUGCUUAGGCUGUAGCUUGCAGGGCCAAUUUGAGGCUGUUUAUGGUGCAAUUUGUUUGCGUCUGUAAAUUAAGGCUCUGUGGGUGUUUGAAAGUGUUAUUCUCCAGCUCCACGGGGACGAAGAUUUUGUCCUCUGUCCAAAUGAUCCUCAAGGUAGUUGGCAUGGUCCAUGUCAAACCAGUAGGAAGCAGGUGGGCCUAAGAUGUGCACAGUCAACAAUAAAUGGUCUAAAAACUGUCUACCUUGUGGCUGGUGCUCUUCUACGCGGAGAAGAUUUGGUCCUUUUCCUUUCCUACUGAGAUCUGGCUGAAGGAAUAAACUUUUUCAUUCUGUCUGCCGA